This 492-nucleotide ribosomal RNA is filed under the name uncultured bacterium. RNAcentral's name for it is "partial 16S ribosomal RNA". It matches the Rfam family "Bacterial small subunit ribosomal RNA", at positions 29 to 507 of the family's 1533-position model. The record is from RNAcentral.
AGUGAACGCUGGCGGUAGGCCUAACACAUGCGAGUCGAACGGCAGCACAGUAAGAGCUUGCUCUUACGGGUGGCGAGUGGCGGACGGGUGAGGAAUACAUCGGAAUCUACUUUUUCGGGGGGGAUAACGUAGGGAAACUUACGCUAAUACCGCAUACGACCUACGGGUGAAAGCAGGGGAUCUUCGGACCUUGCGCGAUUGAAUGAGCCGAUGUCGGAUUAGCUAGUUGGCGGGGUAAAGGCCCACCAAGGCGACGAUCCGUAGCUGGUCUGAGAGGAUGAUCGGCCACACUGGAACUGAGACACGGUCCAGACUCCUACGGGAGGCAGCAGUGGGGAAUAUUGGACAAUGGGCGCAAGCCUGAUCCAGCCAUCCCGCGUGGGUGAAGAAGGCCUUCGGGUUGUAAAGCCCUUUUGUUGGGAAAGAAAAGCAGCAGGUUAAUACCCCGCUGUUCUGACGGUACCCAAAGAAUAAGCACCGGCUAACUUCGUG